Molecule: long non-coding RNA, 4002 nt
Organism: Tachysurus fulvidraco (yellow catfish)
Lineage: Eukaryota; Metazoa; Chordata; Actinopteri; Siluriformes; Bagridae
Exons: 3
Source: RefSeq, a predicted model, not a curated record
UGUCUCUAAUGUGCCUGUUGAAUAAGACGCCGCUCUCUUGCUCCUGCUCUUUCUCUCCGUCUCGUGUGCUCUUUGUUGUUUUCUCUUCUAUUCUUUAGUGUCUGUAGUCUCUGAUAACAAUGUGCAGUCAUUACACACACACACACACACACACACUCCCUCCCUCUCUCGCAAUUCAUUACUUCAAUUAUCUUGUCCUAAAAAUUUAUUUUAAAAAAUUCUAUAUAGUGAAAUCCUCUGAUUACUAUUAUGUUGAGUUCCUAAUGCCUUGAUUUCAGUCUUUUUAUUUAAUCUCUGUAAGAUCAGCGAAGACGCUCCUUAAAAACACAAAAGACACUUUUUUUUUUUUAGUCUUGUCCACGGUGUGUAAAAACAGAUGUUAAAAACGAGCAGUGAAAAGUUAAGUGUGUGCUUCAGAUUUCUUUUUCCACAACAGUGUAACGGCAGAUCAGCUGCAUGAACGGUUUCAAAACUGUGGAACAACGAUUCGUUUGUUGAUUCGUUCGUUAUAAUAAUAAACAGCACAAGUUAAGAAAAGUGUUUUCGGUAUGAACUGAACGUCCACUGGGAUGUAACCAGGAAUGCUUAGACACGCCACACAGUGAAUAUCUAUGCGUCUGGUCUAAAGCUCACCCACUCUUGAGCGUUACUUCUGCUUUUCAAACCUUACUGCUUACUCACAGCUGCACAGUGUGCGCAUGAACACCAGAGUGACACCACUACAAGUCAAAGCAGGCCAGUGUUACACUGCAUUAAGCUCCUUAUAAGCUCCUUUAUAAGAACGUGGCUCAGAUUCGUUUUGCCGAGUUACCCCCCCACGGACGCGUAAAAAUAAAGCCGUUAACGUGAGCGAAUGCGUGAGUUUGCAUUAGUGAGCUGCAUUAUGGGUCGCGUGUGCUCAUUGGGAGAGCGCCGCAGGAGGUGAUGAGCUGACUGCGUGCUCAUCACUCGCUUUUAAGAGUUCAUUUAUCGGUUAUUAUGGAGAACGAAGGGGCGAGAUUUAAUUCAGAUAGCGCACUGUGAAGCACUUGGUUUUGUGCAGGAUUCUGCCAGAACAUCAACUCAGGACAUUUAUGGUGUGUGUUUUAGAAUCGACUCAUUCAGAAACCGAAUAGCAGCAGUGAGAUGUUACCUUACAUGGUGUAUACUCAAAAAGCACCUCGAGGGCUCUCCGGGUGAGGAACUCGAAACUAUAUAAUUCAUUAUAUAUAAUCUCUACACCACUUAUCACGGUUAAAUAACUAGAUAGUUGCAAACAACAAAAAAAUAACCGCUGUAGUGUCUAUUUUUUUAAGACCCAUUUUGAAGCUUUGGGGCAAACUUAACACUUCAGAGCGAAAUUGAACACAGUGUUAGACACACUAAACACCUGACAAGAUUCCAUGCUGCCAUGGUUCAUAACUGUACUUAUUCAGAGUGAGUGAAUGUGAGUCAGUGUGUCUGGACAUGAAGCAGUGAUCAUGCCGAGUAUGAAAUUCGGCCGUGUGGUCCAUCAGACGUGGAAAUUCAUCAGCAGAAAUGAACAAGAUCAGAAGAAGCUCAUGGCGACUUUCAGAGGAAAUAAACUACUCUAUCCUUCUUCAUUUUCAGUUCAUUUCAUCUUUACCGCCAAUAAGGUAGUAAUUAAUGUUACUGAACUGUUCAUUAGGUGCAGCGUCCGGUUGUUUCUGAUGAACACUAGCAGCCUUUAAACUGAAAAUAAGUUACUAGAAGCAUCGGCCAUAUUGUGCAGGUUUAUACUAACUGCAAUAAGCCGAGUAGGACACUGAUGAUGAUGAUGAUGAUGAGUUAACUCUGCAAAGAUUAUCACCAUGUUAGUGUCAUCGACAUGCAUACAAAGUCUAGUUCCUAGUAACAGAAACAGUGCUUGUGAUGUAGAAAAUUUCAAUUCCAGAAAGCAGAACUGCAAAAAAAUUCAAUUUGUAGAAAUCUGAGCUGUAGAAUUCUCAGAAAUUUGAAAAAUUUGGUCUGGAGAAUUUUGGGUUGGGGAAAUUUAAGGUACAGAAAUGUGAAUUGUACACGUGAGAACAUUUCAAGAAUAGACCUUGAAUGAAAGUCCAAUACAGUUAGAAAAAAAAAAAGGCGCCAAAUGGGACGAUCGCAGGCCCAUGUCGCAGUCUGCGGAGAGAUGGAGCUCAACAGUGUGCAAUUAAUAUCUGUACAUCAGCAGCUCUUAGAGGAGUGACAGCAAAAUGAUUACUACAGUGCUGAGCUUAAGAACCUGGGCUUCUGAGAUCUGUGUGUGUGUGUAUGUGUGUGUGUGUGUGUUUGUUGUAUUUCCUUCACAGUUAUUAGAUGUUCAGUACACUAGAUUGAACCUGAUUGCACAGUCAUAUAAUCGCAGCGAUCAGGCUAUAGAGCGUGGAAGUGGCUUAUUACGUUUGUGACAGAUAAGGGACAUUACAAUCUGUACAAUUCAUUCCUCACUGGCCAGUGCUGCUUCUUCUUCAUAUGAGAAUGCACCAUUUCCACACACAAACAAUUUAAUGCGAUCUAAUUGCUUGUGAUUUUCCUUGCGGGUGAUUAACAAUGGAAUUAAAUCCCCGCUGUGAUAGGCAAUUUUAUUCUCGGUAACCCCGUGCAUCCAGAGUAUGAGCGCGUCAUCACCUAUUUCAUUUCACCCGCAAGCACUUUCACAUGGUUUGGAAUGUUAAAUUUGGUGAAAAACAAUUAAAAGGAUUCUGUGUUUAAAAAAAAAAAAAAAAAAAGCUUAUGGGAUUAAAGCACUUUCACCUGCAUGUCAUCAAGACGUUGGUGCAAAAAUAACUACAAAUCAAAUCGAUAAAAUCCAAGCAGAUGGAUUCAGUAUUUUAGGCCAGAUUUGUUAAGCGAAAACAAUAAAAUAAAUUGUGUUGAAAUUCAGCAUGAAGCGAACAAAAACAAGCCAUUUACUACUGCGUUAGCACAUUUUGUAAUUCUAAGUGAAGAACUUAACCAUGUGAAUAACUUGUUUACACUUUCAUGAACAUUUUAAGCCGUUUUCAGACAUUUCUAUGCACAACAACAACAACAACAAACAAAGGAUUUCUGUGUGGAUGACAGAAAACUACAAGGAACACUUCCAUACCCCUGGAUUAUAAAACAAGAACAAGGGUCACGUGAUGCACAUCUGGUGAUGCACAUCUGUUUCCUUCCCAGAAUAAAAAUCAUUAAUAAUUUGUAAGCAGUUUCUCCCUGUUAUGGUCAGUACAUCCAUCUAAGCAGAGCAGAAAACAAGUAACAGCAUCCACGCCACCGUGGUGCACGAACAAGCCGUUAAACAAGCGAAUAUAAGAUCGGAACCCAAUUACUCACUCAUUUUGGGUCGGUGCUUUGAAUCCGAAUCCAGUUCCUCGAGCCGAUCCAGUUCCUCUUUUUCCCUCCAUCCUAAUUAGCUUCUUUCUGCGUUGGAAACCUGCAGCUCUGUUAGAUAGGAACACAAAGGGAUGCAAUUGGACCUCAUUAGUGGACUUUAAAUCACUUUAGACGCAAACUGUGGGGUAUAAAGCACAUUUUACAGACUACUAGACAAUUGUUUUACCUUCCAAAUGCCACAAAAUUAGCCAAAUAAAUAAAUCCUGAGCCACAAUACACCUGAGGUACUGAGGUAACUCCGCCCCCUGGGACUGGGUUUGUAGUCCGUUCCGUCGCUGAGUAUUCUGGUGUUGGAUUUAACAGCAGCAGUGGUGUUGAAGAGAAAAGACAACAGUUAAAGGGAUCCCGUGGAGUGCUCUGUACCCAGGUGUGAAAAAUACAAAGAAUUCAUUCAUCGUUCAUUUCCCUUCCUCUUUUUCCAUUGGGAGUUGCAGUGGCAACAAGCUGAGUAGCUUUUCUUCGGUCUCCUGAAUCCCCAGCCACAAAUUCCAGCUCCUAUUUGGGUAUCCCCAGAUGUUCCGUAGCCAGCUGUGAGAUAUCAUCUCCGCAGCCGGUCCUGGGUCUGCCCUCGGGCUACAUGUCCAGUACAAGAAGUGUUUGUAUUGGUUUUUAUCCACUGUUUCUGGAAAAAAAAAAAAACAUAAAAAA